UACGUAGGUGGCAAGCGUUGUCCGGAAUUAUUGGGCGUAAAGCGCGUGUAGGCGGCUCGGUAAGUCUGCUGUGAAAGUCCAAGGCUCAACCUUGGAAAGCCGGUGGAUACUGUCGAGCUCGAGUCCGGAAGAGGCGAGUGGAAUUCCUGGUGUAGCGGUGAAAUGCGCAGAUAUCAGGAGGAACACCAAUGGCGAAGGCAGCUCGCUGGGACGGUACUGACGCUGAGACGCGAAAGCGUGGGGAGCAAACAGG
Molecule: ribosomal RNA, 253 nt
Filed under: uncultured bacterium
Lineage: Bacteria
Description: partial 16S ribosomal RNA
Rfam family: Bacterial small subunit ribosomal RNA
Source: RNAcentral